This 497-nucleotide ribosomal RNA is filed under the name uncultured bacterium. Its description in RNAcentral is "partial 16S ribosomal RNA". It matches the Rfam family "Bacterial small subunit ribosomal RNA", at positions 28 to 507 of the family's 1533-position model. The record is from RNAcentral.
GAUGAACGCUGGCGGCGUGCCUAAUACAUGCAAGUCGAGCGAACGGACGAGUAGCUUGCUUUUCUGAUGUUAGCGGCGGACGGGUGAGUAACACGUGGAUAACCUACCUAUAAGACUGGGAUAACUUCGGGUAACCGGAGCUAAUACCGGAUAAUAUUUUGAACCGCAUGGUUCAAAAGUUAAAGACGGUCUUGCUGUCACUUAUCGAUGGAUCCGCGCUGCAUUAGCUAGUUGGUAAGGUAACGGCUUACCAAGGCAACGAUGCAUAGCCGACCUGAGAGGGUGAGCGGCCACGCUGGAACUGAGAGACGGUCCAGACUCCUACGAGAGGCCACAGUAGGGAAGGUUGCGCAAGGGGCGAAAACCGGACGGAGCAAGGCAGUGUGAGGGAUGAAGGUCUCCGGAGCGUAAAAGUCUGUUAGGAGGGAAGAACAUAUGUGUAAGGAACUGUGCACAUCUUGACGGUACCAAAUCAGAAAGCCACGGCUAACUACGUG